Molecule: ribosomal RNA, 254 nt
Filed under: uncultured bacterium
Lineage: Bacteria
Description: partial 16S ribosomal RNA
Rfam family: Bacterial small subunit ribosomal RNA
Source: RNAcentral
UACGUAGGGUCCGAGCGUUGUCCGGAAUUAUUGGGCGUAAAGGGCUCGUAGGCGGUUUGUCGCGUCGGGGAGUGAAAACACGGGGCUUAACCCCGUGCCUGCUUCCGAUACGGGCAGACUAGAGGUAUGCAGGGGAGAACGGAAUUCCUGGUGUAGCGGUGAAAUGCGCAGAUAUCAGGAGGAACACCGGUGGCGAAGGCGGCAUCCUGGACCGACACUGACGCUGAGGAGCGAAAGCCAGGGGAGCAAACGGG